RNAcentral lists this ribosomal RNA (640 nucleotides) under Vibrio sp. RNAcentral describes it as "bacterial SSU rRNA". It matches the Rfam family "Bacterial small subunit ribosomal RNA", at positions 68 to 693 of the family's 1533-position model. The record is from RNAcentral. Lineage: Bacteria; Pseudomonadati; Pseudomonadota; Gammaproteobacteria; Vibrionales; Vibrionaceae.
GAGUUAUCUGAACCUUCGGGGAACGAUAACGGCGUCGAGCGGCGGACGGGUGAGUAAUGCCUAGGAAAUUGCCCUGAUGUGGGGGAUAACCAUUGGAAACGAUGGCUAAUACCGCAUGAUGCCUACGGGCCAAAGAGGGGGACCUUCGGGCCUCUCGCGUCAGGAUAUGCCUAGGUGGGAUUAGCUAGUUGGUGAGGUAAGGGCUCACCAAGGCGACGAUCCCUAGCUGGUCUGAGAGGAUGAUCAGCCACACUGGAACUGAGACACGGUCCAGACUCCUACGGGAGGCAGCAGUGGGGAAUAUUGCACAAUGGGCGCAAGCCUGAUGCAGCCAUGCCGCGUGUGUGAAGAAGGCCUUCGGGUUGUAAAGCACUUUCAGUCGUGAGGAAGGUGGUGUAGUUAAUAGCUGCAUUAUUUGACGUUAGCGACAGAAGAAGCACCGGCUAACUCCGUGCCAGCAGCCGCGGUAAUACGGAGGGUGCGAGCGUUAAUCGGAAUUACUGGGCGUAAAGCGCAUGCAGGUGGUUUGUUAAGUCAGAUGUGAAAGCCCGGGGCUCAACCUCGGAAUAGCAUUUGAAACUGGCAGACUAGAGUACUGUAGAGGGGGGUAGAAUUUCAGGUGUAGCGGUGAAAUGCGUAG